Long non-coding RNA from Asterias rubens (European starfish), 2334 nucleotides. RefSeq lists it as uncharacterized. Lineage: Eukaryota; Metazoa; Echinodermata; Asteroidea; Forcipulatida; Asteriidae. The transcript is spliced from 2 exons. The record is from RefSeq and is a predicted model, not a curated record.
UAUCUACAACUACUUACCAGGAUCCUUGAAGGAUGAACAGAGUGGAACAACUAAGAGUUGAUUACGUCAAGAUGCUGAGCCACAUUAUGCAGCACCAAUAAAACUGUUGCUUCAACACAGUCUUUGUAAAGGAGGACUGUUUCUUCAUGAUGACUGCCCUCAUCUAAGGUUGUAUCCAAAUUGGUGGUACCAGCUUCGACUGUUACUAAGGAUGUACUUCGACCAUUGAGUAGUCGUUCCAAGAGCAUGAACAACAUUGAACAAAUCUUCAAAUGGAUCUUGAUAUGACAGCAUGAUCAUCCGGAUUCAUCUGCAGAUUGAACUCACGUACACAACAAAUUUUUCUUAUUGUGGAACAAUGACUUGAAUAUUAGUAUUGUUUGAAGCUUUGCAUGGUGAAGAGAAAUAGGAAGAAACUAUAAAUAUGUGUAUUUAACUUGUGGGUACACUCUUUUGUAUGAGUGUUGGCUCUGAAAAAACUCUGUGUGAGUGUUUGAUCAAGGCUGAUUUGUCAUGGUGUCCCAGACUGCCGUGUGCUUGAUGUUUCUUGAUUCUCAUGGAUAUGAAUGCAGCAGGUCUCCUCUAUGUGUCAUCGCAUUCGGAGGGAAUGCUGGUCUUCUGUGUGAAGUGAUGUUUGAAUCUUGUACGUUUCUGGGUUGAGCUUGGCUGAUGAUUUGUUGGAGCUUGUGAGAUGCAUGGCCGAUGUAUGGAAGGGUGAUGGUAGCCUUGAACUGCGGACUUUUGUCUACUUGUGUGAUGAGGAAUGGCUUGGGCUGGCUGCAGGAAUUGAAGGUCUUUUAGUCGUUGAGUUGUAGUGAUGUCUUGAUGUGAUGAAGUUCCUGCUUCAAGCUGCCUUGUUCAACUUAUUUUGUAGACAGAAUACGUAAUAACUUGUAAUGAGAUAAUUCCUUACAAGUUAAUGUAUUCACAUUUUUAAUGUUGCAUGUUUGUAAUGAGGUAUUUCAUUACACUCAUGCAAAACAUUCUUGCAAUGAAAUACCUCAUUGCAAGUAUGUCAAAGUUUCAAGUGCGUAAUGAAGUACUGCAUUACAAGCAUGAAACAAGUUAUGUAAAUUUGUAAUGCAAUUGCUCAUUACAAUUAUGAAACAAUAGGGCAAACUCAUUACAAAUAUAAAGACAACAAGCUUGUCAAGAAGUGUAUAUGAGUGGUUUAACAUUACAAACUAAUAAAAUUUAGUUUUACUUUUACUGAAUUUGAAUAUUGUAUUAAAAAUGAAUGGUACCUUUUAUUGUGUCGUUCCGUUAUUCAUCCAAACAAUAUUAUAAGUGUUCUGGGGGUACCCCCACAUGGUGGCCACCAUGUUUUUUUUGUAUUAGUUAUUAUUAAAGGACAUGUAAAUAUUGUGACUCACAUUGGGUUCAAUAACUGUUAUUGAGGUUUUAAAUUACAAUGGUCAUGACAUUGUACUGUGUUACUUGAGGGUGUUUGAGUCCUCAUUGUUAUGCUAAUUAAUUACAAUGUUCAUUGUUACGAGCUAGGUAGGCAUUAAUUUGUGCACGAUGUUGAGUUUUUGCUCAAUAGAGGGCGCUGUUCGCCGGGCACCGAGUACUAGUUGUUAUAUUAAUUAAUUACAAUGGUUAUAACAAAGGUCACAACAUUUAUAUUAUCUACUGUUAAUUGUGUUGCAUUAAUGUCACACUCGGUAUUGAUAUUCUUUAUACCUUGCAAUAGUUGAGAUUGCUCGUUAAUUAUGUUUUUUAUAAAUUUUAUACAAAGGACAUGACAUUAGUUUUAUUAUCUGGUGUUAAUUUUGUGCCAAAAAUGCCACACUAAGAUUGGUAUAUUGUGAUAUACCAUUCACAACAGUUUUAUAGUUGAGAGUACUUGUUAACAUGGUUUUUUUUAAUUACAAAAUUGUUGACAAGUUUGAUAUUCGCCUAUGUAGAUAGCUAUUUGAUGCUAAUAUCAGGGUUUUCAAGAGUACUUUCUCACAAGAGUGUUUCUUCACUCUGCAGACAAAGGGAGCUAGCCACUAUAGUAAUGACUUCCGAUAUAGGAUAUUGAUUGAAAUUAUAUAAUGUAUCUUAUCUUAAACAAAGGAAAGUAAUUAAUUGGUUUUACUGCAAGAAAACGGUACUGUAUAUAAAAUUUUCUUUAACCGCAUAAUCAUGGUCAACAACUUUAAUUGAACAAUUGAAAGCAUUUCUUAAGUCAUAGUUAUUAUAGAUAAGUUUAAGUGGGGUUUUCCAGAGUAUUUGUUAUCUCUGGUUUUUCACUCCGUAGGCUAGGUAUCAAAGGGGGGUAACAUUUCAAAGAAGCAAUUGUUGUAAUGGUUACAAACUUGGAUGUAUUAUGAUCCCUUUAACUGUUGU